AGCGUAGGCGGACAUUUAAGUCAGGGGUGAAAUCCCGGGGCUCAACCUCGGAAUUGCCUUUGAUACUGGGUGUCUUGAGUGUGAGAGAGGUAUGUGGAACUCCGAGUGUAGAGGUGAAAUUCGUAGAUAUUCGGAAGAACACCAGUGGCGAAGGCGACAUACUGGCUCAUUACUGACGCUGAGGCUCGAAAGCGUGGGGAGCAAACA
This 207-nucleotide ribosomal RNA is filed under the name uncultured Brevundimonas sp. Its description in RNAcentral is "partial 16S ribosomal RNA". It matches the Rfam family "Bacterial small subunit ribosomal RNA", at positions 568 to 774 of the family's 1533-position model. The record is from RNAcentral. Lineage: Bacteria; Pseudomonadati; Pseudomonadota; Alphaproteobacteria; Caulobacterales; Caulobacteraceae.